Molecule: RNA transcript, 6743 nt
Organism: Bacillus rossius redtenbacheri
Lineage: Eukaryota; Metazoa; Arthropoda; Insecta; Phasmatodea; Bacillidae
Gene name: zinc phosphodiesterase ELAC protein 1-like
Exons: 9
Source: RefSeq, a predicted model, not a curated record
GGCCUUUAUUAUUGUUGUUAUUUUGUCUGGUUGUGUUAUUGUUGACGCAAAUUGACUACAGUAGUGGCAAGGUAUGCAGGUUAACCUCUCUUAGGGAAUUUAUUGGAGUGUAUUGAACAUGCAAGAAGAAACAAAAUGAAGAUAGAUAUUACAUUUUUGGGUACAGCAUCUUGUUAUCCGACUCCACAUAGAAGUGUGUCUUGUACUGCAGUUAGAUUUGAAGACGGCAGUGUUUGGCUCUUCGACUGCGGCGAAGGCUCGCAGAUACAGCUGCAGAAGAGUUCCGUCAAGCCCGGACGCGUCUCCAAAAUUUUCAUCACACAUCUUCACGGAGAUCAUGUGUUCGGCCUGCCGGGGCUGGUGUGCACUCUGGGGACCGCCUGGCAGGGAAAGGCGGACGCAGACGCACUGCUGGAGGUGUUUGGUCCCAAGGGACUGCGUAGCUACCUGCGCCGGAGUCUGGCCCUGUCGCGCUCCCUCCUGCCCUUCCAUUACACCGUCCACGAGCUGGUGCCGGUGCCGGAGCAGUUCCCCGCCGACUGGGGCGCGUGGCCGGUGGACCACGAGGCGGCCGGCCCCACCCACCCGCAGGAGCGUCUCGGCCGGGACAUCCCCGUCGCCCGCGAGGACGACCGCUGCACCUGGCACCUUUUCAGCGACGGCUGCGCCGGCGUGCGGGCUGGCAUGAUCCACCACACGAUCCCCUCGUUCGGCUUCGCGGUGGAGCUGGCGAGCCAGCCGGGGCAGCUGGACGCGGGGCGGCUGCGGGAGCUGGGGCUGCCCCCGGGACCCCUGUACGGGGCGCUCAAGCGCGGCGAGGAGGUGACCCUGCCGGGCGGACUGGUCAUUCGUCCUUCGGAAGUAGUGGGGCCGCCGAAGCGGGGGCUGAAGGCCACCAUCCUCGGUGAUACGAGCGACCCAUCCCCCAUGGAGCACCUGGCGAGGGGCAGCGACGUACUGCUGCACGAGGCGACCAUGCGGGACGGCGAGCGGGACAAGGCGCUGGAGUUCGGCCACUCGACGCCCGCCAUGGCGGCCGGCUUCGCUGACCGCGCGGGCGCGCGCCGCCUCGUGCUGUACCACUUCAGCCAGCGGUACAGGCCCGCCGGGCCGGGCACUGACCCCCAGGAAACGGUGGCCGUCCUGCUGGAGGAAGCGAGGGCCGCCCUUCCCCGGGGCAGCGUGUGCGAGGUGUCUGCGGCCGAAGACCUCCUGGAGAUGACCGUCAGCUAGCGACGCCUCUCCGCGGCAGUGCUGGAGGCGACCUGGCUCCCGAACAGCGCUGGGAGGCCGUGUGCUGUCUGCCGUGCCUGGGCCCCCGUGGGCCGGGCCUUCGACUGGCAAGCACUGUGCGACAUGUGAAAUUAGAGAAGAAAAUUAGGUAUUUGGUAUGUUUACAUCUAUAUUUUUAAUAACUUUAUGUAUACAGGAUGGCCAUGAAUAUGUGUUACACAUUGAUAGGGAUGGUAGAUGUAGAUGUGUGGAAAACAUUUUAUUAAGAAACCCAUGUCCGGAAAUGCAUCCUUAUACCUGAAACUGCGCAACAAAGUAACGGGUAGGUAGUGUCACUAGGAUACAAUUUAAAAAAAAAAAUUAUUACAUAAUGUUAUAAAAAAAAAUUAACUUUCAAAUUUUGCCAUGGUUCCUUAAACUGGUAUGUAAGCAUUGUUUCUAAGUACAGAAUUGGUUUUAUUCUUGGUGAAGAAACAUAUCAUAGUGACUAUUUGCGUGGUCAAAAUAUGAGAAAAACCAUAAUCUUCUAGAAGAUUACAUCACUUUCAUCAACUAAGGUGGCUAGUUCACCACCAAUUUAAAUUUCGGGAUUUUUAUUUAAAUAUGCAGAGCACCUUUUUUGAAGUCAAUAUUGUUAUAUAAAUUAUAUCUGUGGCACACCCUUAAAAAGAAGUUGUAUUUGUGGUUAUUACAAAUUGUAGUCAAACUGUAAAAGAUAAAGAAACCGAGAAAAUUUAUAAGGUUUUUCUUUUCUUUCCAUAACAAAUAUUCACUUUAUAUGUUUGAAAAUACAAACUGUAACAACUAGAUUUAAAAUAUUAAGUACUAUCCUUUUAAGAGGAAAUUAAUCUUCCUUUUCUGAAUUCAUUUUAUUUUUAUUCUGUAACUUAUGUUGAAAUUAUACAGGAAAGCACCAGUACAACGAACUUCAGUUAAACGAACACUUCACUUAACCGAACUCAUUGUUUGGUCCCGCCAAAAACGUAUAUAAUAACCUUGAAUUUUAUUUCAUCUUAACGAAUUUUACGACGGUCCGUUUCUUCCUGAAACAAAAAUAUUCACUUGAACGAACAACCUUGAGGCAAAUUUUGAAAAAAAUUACCAUCCAAAAACUUGUACUUUAUUUUUAAUUUUCUUAUUCAAACGUAACAGCGUGUACGUAAACAAAAACAAUAACGGAACUAGUAUGUGUGCGCAUGUACUGUCGACAUGAGUAGAUUAAUUCUCGUGUUUUGAAAUAAUAAUGGGAUGGUAUUACGUCCGUUGUACGAUACAAAUAGUACAUAUUCUCGGACUUUUCGUUUGUUGGCUACUUACAUCACGAUAAUUUUUGUACGGUACUUUGGCUAACCUGUGCUGUUUUAAUUUAUUUCUUGAAAUUCAUUUUUUUCACCAUAUUGUUUUUGUCGUGUCUACAGACGUGAAAUUUUUUUCCUUUUUUCAAUAGUGUUGUGUUCUUCAGUGCCGGUUGUGGGAAGCCUACAACUCACGUAGUUUCGGUUCCCUGCAAGAAUUUCCGAAGAUUUCCGAAGUUUUGCGUUUCGGUAUUAACGCCACUUCAGCCGCUAAAUCAAUGAAAACAAGCAUGUUGUGACUAACCUAACCCAACCCUUCGAUUUUUUUAAUUUCAAUUUUUGAGUGAAAUCCAAAGUUGCACGAACGUGGUAGGAAACCGAAACUACGUGAGUUGUAGGCUACCGGCCGGUUGUAGAAAUGAAGCGUGUAUCUGGGGGAUAAAAAAAAGAACGCAAUUCUUCAAAACUUUUGACCUAAGACCUAACUAUUCAAAAGAAUGGCCAUGCUUGUCUUCAAAUGUUUUGGAACACCACGCGUUUUGUAAUGUAUGCACGUUUGACUUUUCGAUUGCACAUGGUGGAAGGGAUGACUGUAGAGGGCACAUUGAAUUAAAGAAACAGGCGGAACAUUUUAUAGUCAUGACGAGCAAUAAAUCCAUAUCGUAGUUUUUUCGCUACAUCUGAAAAAACGAAAGUAACGAACGCAGAGUUAUUGUUUACAAGUUCUUUUGUUUGUCUUCUGUUGUUUGUUUAUAAGACAGUUCUUAUCCAACCAGGAUAAAAGAAGCAAAUAAAAAUAUAAUUGUUCAAAAGUAUAACUUUGAAUACUUUGAAUUGAAGGUUGAAAAUUUCCUGUAAAAUUAAUGACAUUUCUUACAUAUUCAGAUGAUUGUAUUGUUCAAAUAGUUUUUUUCUUCGAUUCAUUAAUUUUCAUUGUAUUCAUAUACAUAGGCCUACAUUUUUAAUUUUUUUUUUGCAUAUUAUUGUCCUUUUGUUUUCUCUUGUGUGUGUCAUAAUUCCUCAGGAAAAAUUUAUUGUGCAUGAUUUACGCGUACUUUUUUAAUAUAAUUGUCAUUACUGAUGGGUGUGAUUUGAGGUUGGCAGCUCUGCCUACAAUGUGUCUCCUGACCAUAGACAAAGCAUCAGCAGAGAGUAUGUGAACAGGUUCUUCAAGCGGCCAUAGACUAAUGACUGAGAUACUGAACCUUAAAACACUUAAGGUGUUUCAUGUGUUUAUCGGUAUACAUAUUUAUAACAAUGCUUAUGUUUCAGUAUAAAGAACUUCAGUAUAACAAACUCAACUAUUUUUUGGUCCCUUCAUGUUCUUUAUAGUGAAGCUUUCCUGUAUUUGUCUUUUGAACAUUUAUUUCAGAAACUGCAAUUGCCAAUCAUAAAAUUUAACAAAGAUCUCAAUACACACAUUGUACUGGUUUAUGAUUUUUCCAAAGUGUUUGGUUAGCGAAUUAAGAUUAAAUGUUUGUUAACUAGUUUCUUUCUCUCUCUCUGUCUCUUUCCCCCCUCCCCCCCUUCCUUUUCAGCUAACACACAGGUUUCAAUUUUUGCAAUCUGAAAAUCUUGACACCACCUAAUCUUCUUCACUCUCUUGCUCAUCGUCAGCAAUCUCAUCCAGUUCUUCAUUUGUUUCAUCGAUUUCUUCUUCAUUUGUGUCAUCAUCCUUCAGCUUUUUCAUUAUCUCAGCUUCAAGUAACUUCUUAAUUUCCUCAGCAUCAUGCACCUUCUUAAGUUCUCUGGCCUCAUCUGGAAAAUGCAGACAGGCCAUAAGGUUCAUAUUUUGAUAAUUCAAGAUAAAAAAAAAGGCACUGCUUUGACCCUGGUGAAAACACAUUAAAGAAAGUUGUUAUUAUUAUGCAGUACACAGUUUAUGGUGCGCACUUUUAUAUCUUACAUUACGAAUUUCAGAAGAUGUGUUUCUUUGGAAUCCGUGCCUUUUCCACAUUUAAGACCCACAUUUACCCACAACUCAUCCUUAAAGAUAACUGGCAUCCCUAAAUCCUGAAACCUUUUUACUUCUCUCUAGUGGGCAUGCUGCCAUCGAUUUAUGGUUUUGUUUGGAAUUUUGGGAAAAUUGAAAAUUAUUAUUUCUUCAUCAAUCUAAUAUAUUUUAAUUUCAAUCAUUUUUUUUUUAGUCCUACUCAAUCAAGUUUUUUAUUGUCACCCUCCGUGGCUUCUCAGGAUUCAUCCGUCUGGUUGGCUUACGCUAUAGCUUAGCAGAUUAAAAGAAAUUAUUCAGAGCUUGCAUAAAUGAAAACCAACAAUUUCAUUGAGAGGUGUCAAUAUUUGCUUGGACAUUGCUCUUCAAACUUCCACACAUUCAUUGGCAGUUGCUUGCUGCCGUCGGCAAACACUCAACAAGGAACUCUGAAGAAAUAGUGGCUAGCAAGGCUGUGCUGAAGUCCUAACGGCAACUGAGGCGGAGAAAGAGAAGUUUUUUGGUACUGCGAAGUUGGCAGAGGAGGCUUGGGGUUAAAUAAAGAGGAAAACAACUGCCUUGUGGCGAAAAGGGACCUUCAGAGGCCAAGGGAGACCACCCUAACAGAAAACAGCAGACUUGGAGGCUUCAGGUGGCAGUCCCACUAUCAAGCUCGGGUGCUGUGGACUUAUAACUCCUACAGCAUUUAACUAACAUUGACAAAGAAAAAACCUGUCUGAUCCAAAGAUGACGACAUUUGUCUUGAAAAUGCUAAUACACGUGGAAGCAAUGGAAGAAGGCAAGACCUGGAGAGAGGUGGAAAGGUUAGCCGGAAACAGAAACAAGAUGGAGAUAUUUUGUUGACGCCCCCAUGUCUAGGGACAAGGCGCCACAAGACUAUAUGGUAAAUUGCGAUAAAACCGAAAUAACGCCGAAAAGCACGUCUGAACACCGAAAUUCAAGUUAACACACCACACAGCAUCGAAAUGCAACUAAAAUUAUGAAAAUAAUCAGAAUUUUAAACCAAAACUUAAACUCAAAACGACAAAUACCUAAUCUUUUAAAUGUUAAAUUCACUGAAAGUAACUUCGUUAGCAUGACACAGUGCAGUGACAGUGUACAGCUGCUGCCUUACGUCUCUGGACUGAACCGUUUGGCUUUAUAGCCUGUCAUUUUUUUUAUCACAUUGCUGAGACCCAAAAAAUAUCUUAAUUGAUCCUCUUUUGUAGUGGGACACAUUUUCAGUUUAGAUCGUUGAAGGUGUAGUGUAGCAGUAGCAGUGGUGCCUGACCUGUCGCUCUCGCAACGAGCUUGCGGGUGGGCGCGCUGAGCCGCGGCAGCCUGGCGGACCAGUCGGGGUCGCGGUACCUCCGCGCCGGCGCCUCGGUCCCCGGCGCCUCCCGUGGGGGCGGCUCCGUCGCGUCCGCUCCCAGCCACACGCCGACGACGCUCAGCACGCCAGUGGCUGCCCUGACGAGCCGCGGGAGCCCCACGUGGGGCCCGGGGGCCGGGAACAAGGGCUCUGGCCGCCACCGCCCGUCCCGCAGGCUGGCCGGCUGCGAGAACACCACGCCCCGCGGGACGCCGAAGGUGCCUGGCACACGCCGUGGACCCCAGGCGAACUUGAAACCCAGUGAGUGAUCUUAAACUACUUCCUGACGCGUUGUGGAUACCUUCACGGCGCCCCGCACGAUCCAGUGCUCCACGGCUUCCUUGAUCUGCGAGCGCACGUCUUGCCUCGGGAACAACAAGGGGCCGACCUCGCGCACCUCCAUCCUGAAGGAGCCCAGCGGCAUCUGGGAGUCCCUGGUGGCGCCCACCACCCGGGCGCUGGGCUCGAACACCACGCGCCGGUGACGCGUGGCAUCAGCGUCUACCUGGUGGUCCAGUCCUAGGACGGCGCGAGGCUCGGGUCUGACUGAAGCUCGGCGCAAAACGUUUAGGAAUAAUAUUUAAAGAUUUCCCAACAAAACAGGUUUUUUUACGUUUAACCAUCAACUAUAUCUUGAAUUAAAUUCAUUACUGUUCUGCUUUGUACUCAGCGAUUUUAAGAUUUUUUCGGAAAAUUAAAACACAAAUAAAGUAAAUUUUUUGUAGAAAACUGUGGACUUAAGUCGUUACUUAAGAAUGUUUUCUGGGAAAUGAUGUAGAAAUUUGAAGAUUGGUUGGUUAUAUGUACAGGUAAACUUGUUCGCUGGAACUUUGUUACAGUAAUUUCACUGAUUCUCUCUGUAAUAUAGUGAGACAAUUUGCUUUUCUCCAACUGUAGGUUUUUUUUUCAUUUC